GUCACUUUGCCGGAGUGGUUAACGGGAUCGCCUGCUAUGGACUUCGAGCCCUGCUUAGCGGUUGCUCUUUGAGCGCGUGUGUUCGAAUCGCACAGGUGACG
This 101-nucleotide transfer RNA is filed under the name Coprinellus micaceus. RNAcentral describes it as "tRNA-Ser". Lineage: Eukaryota; Fungi; Basidiomycota; Agaricomycetes; Agaricales; Psathyrellaceae. The record is from RNAcentral.